RNAcentral lists this ribosomal RNA (2800 nucleotides) under Escherichia coli. Its description in RNAcentral is "partial 23S ribosomal RNA". It matches the Rfam family "Bacterial large subunit ribosomal RNA". Lineage: Bacteria; Pseudomonadati; Pseudomonadota; Gammaproteobacteria; Enterobacterales; Enterobacteriaceae. The record is from RNAcentral.
CCGGCGAUUUCCGAAUGGGGAAACCCAGUGUGUUUCGACACACUAUCAUUAACUGAAUCCAUAGGUUAAUGAGGCGAACCGGGGGAACUGAAACAUCUAAGUACCCCGAGGAAAAGAAAUCAACCGAGAUUCCCCCAGUAGCGGCGAGCGAACGGGGAGGAGCCCAGAGCCUGAAUCAGUGUGUGUGUUAGUGGAAGCGUCUGGAAAGGCGCGCGAUACAGGGUGACAGCCCCGUACACAAAAAUGCACAUAUUGUGAGCUCGAUGAGUAGGGCGGGACACGUGGUAUCCUGUCUGAAUAUGGGGGGACCAUCCUCCAAGGCUAAAUACUCCUGACUGACCGAUAGUGAACCAGUACCGUGAGGGAAAGGCGAAAAGAACCCCGGCGAGGGGAGUGAAAAAGAACCUGAAACCGUGUACGUACAAGCAGUGGGAGCCUCUUUAUGGGGUGACUGCGUACCUUUUGUAUAAUGGGUCAGCGACUUAUAUUCUGUAGCAAGGUUAACCGAAUAGGGGAGCCGAAGGGAAACCGAGUCUUAACUGGGCGUUAAGUUGCAGGGUAUAGACCCGAAACCCGGUGAUCUAGCCAUGGGCAGGUUGAAGGUUGGGUAACACUAACUGGAGGACCGAACCGACUAAUGUUGAAAAAUUAGCGGAUGACUUGUGGCUGGGGGUGAAAGGCCAAUCAAACCGGGAGAUAGCUGGUUCUCCCCGAAAGCUAUUUAGGUAGCGCCUCGUGAAUUCAUCUCCGGGGGUAGAGCACUGUUUCGGCAAGGGGGUCAUCCCGACUUACCAACCCGAUGCAAACUGCGAAUACCGGAGAAUGUUAUCACGGGAGACACACGGCGGGUGCUAACGUCCGUCGUGAAGAGGGAAACAACCCAGACCGCCAGCUAAGGUCCCAAAGUCAUGGUUAAGUGGGAAACGAUGUGGGAAGGCCCAGACAGCCAGGAUGUUGGCUUAGAAGCAGCCAUCAUUUAAAGAAAGCGUAAUAGCUCACUGGUCGAGUCGGCCUGCGCGGAAGAUGUAACGGGGCUAAACCAUGCACCGAAGCUGCGGCAGCGACACUAUGUGUUGUUGGGUAGGGGAGCGUUCUGUAAGCCUGUGAAGGUGGCCUGUGAGGGUUGCUGGAGGUAUCAGAAGUGCGAAUGCUGACAUAAGUAACGAUAAAGCGGGUGAAAAGCCCGCUCGCCGGAAGACCAAGGGUUCCUGUCCAACGUUAAUCGGGGCAGGGUGAGUCGACCCCUAAGGCGAGGCCGAAAGGCGUAGUCGAUGGGAAACAGGUUAAUAUUCCUGUACUUGGUGUUACUGCGAAGGGGGGACGGAGAAGGCUAUGUUGGCCGGGCGACGGUUGUCCCGGUUUAAGCGUGUAGGCUGGUUUUCCAGGCAAAUCCGGAAAACCAAGGCUGAGGCGUGAUGACGAGGCACUACGGUGCUGAAGCGACAAAUGCCCUGCUUCCAGGAAAAGCCUCUAAGCAUCAGGUAACAUCAAAUCGUACCCCAAACCGACACAGGUGGUCAGGUAGAGAAUACCAAGGCGCUUGAGAGAACUCGGGUGAAGGAACUAGGCAAAAUGGUGCCGUAACUUCGGGAGAAGGCACGCUGAUAUGUAGGUGAAGCGACUUGCUCGUGGAGCUGAAAUCAGUCGAAGAUACCAGCUGGCUGCAACUGUUUAUUAAAAACACAGCACUGUGCAAACACGAAAGUGGACGUAUACGGUGUGACGCCUGCCCGGUGCCGGAAGGUUAAUUGAUGGGGUUAGCGGUAACGCGAAGCUCUUGAUCGAAGCCCCGGUAAACGGCGGCCGUAACUAUAACGGUCCUAAGGUAGCGAAAUUCCUUGUCGGGUAAGUUCCGACCUGCACGAAUGGCGUAAUGAUGGCCAGGCUGUCUCCACCCGAGACUCAGUGAAAUUGAACUCGCUGUGAAGAUGCAGUGUACCCGCGGCAAGACGGAAAGACCCCGUGAACCUUUACUAUAGCUUGACACUGAACAUUGAGCCUUGAUGUGUAGGAUAGGUGGGAGGCUUUGAAGUGUGGACGCCAGUCUGCAUGGAGCCGACCUUGAAAUACCACCCUUUAAUGUUUGAUGUUCUAACGUUGGCCCGUAAUCCGGGUUGCGGACAGUGUCUGGUGGGUAGUUUGACUGGGGCGGUCUCCUCCUAAAGAGUAACGGAGGAGCACGAAGGUUGGCUAAUCCUGGUCGGACAUCAGGAGGUUAGUGCAAUGGCAUAAGCCAGCUUGACUGCGAGCGUGACGGCGCGAGCAGGUGCGAAAGCAGGUCAUAGUGAUCCGGUGGUUCUGAAUGGAAGGGCCAUCGCUCAACGGAUAAAAGGUACUCCGGGGAUAACAGGCUGAUACCGCCCAAGAGUUCAUAUCGACGGCGGUGUUUGGCACCUCGAUGUCGGCUCAUCACAUCCUGGGGCUGAAGUAGGUCCCAAGGGUAUGGCUGUUCGCCAUUUAAAGUGGUACGCGAGCUGGGUUUAGAACGUCGUGAGACAGUUCGGUCCCUAUCUGCCGUGGGCGCUGGAGAACUGAGGGGGGCUGCUCCUAGUACGAGAGGACCGGAGUGGACGCAUCACUGGUGUUCGGGUUGUCAUGCCAAUGGCACUGCCCGGUAGCUAAAUGCGGAAGAGAUAAGUGCUGAAAGCAUCUAAGCACGAAACUUGCCCCGAGAUGAGUUCUCCCUGACUCCUUGAGAGUCCUGAAGGAACGUUGAAGACGACGACGUUGAUAGGCCGGGUGUGUAAGCGCAGCGAUGCGUUGAGCUAACCGGUACUAAUGAACCGUGAGGCUUAACCUU